CAGCAGCCGCGGUAAUACGUAGGUGGCAAGCGUUGUCCGGAAUUAUUGGGCGUAAAGGGCUCGCAGGCGGUUUCUUAAGUCUGUUGUGAAAGCCCCCGGCUCAACCGGGGAGGGUCAUUGGAAACUGGGAAACUUGAGUGCAGAAGAGGAGAGUGGAAUUCCACGUGUAGCGGUGAAAUGCGUAGAGAUGUGGAGGAACACCAGUGGCGAAGGCGACUCUCUGGUCUGUAACUGACGCUGAGGAGCGAAAGCGUGGGGAGCGAACAGGAUUAGAGACCCCCGUAGUCCCUGUCUCUUAUAC
RNAcentral lists this ribosomal RNA (301 nucleotides) under uncultured bacterium. Its description in RNAcentral is "partial 16S ribosomal RNA". It matches the Rfam family "Bacterial small subunit ribosomal RNA", at positions 509 to 807 of the family's 1533-position model. The record is from RNAcentral.